GACGUAGGGUGCGAGCGUUGUCCGGAGUUACUGGGCGUAAAGGGCGCGUAGGCGGCUGCCCGCGUCGCACGUGAAAGCCCCCGGCUCAACCGGGGAGGGUCGUGCGAGACGGGGUGGCUAGAGGCAGGGAGAGGCUGGUGGAAUUCCCGGUGUAGCGGUGAAAUGCGUAGAGAUCGGGAGGAACACCGGUGGCGAAGGCGGCCAGCUGGCCCUGACCUGACGCUGAGGCGCGAAGGCGCGGGGAGCGAACGGG
RNAcentral lists this ribosomal RNA (253 nucleotides) under uncultured bacterium. RNAcentral's name for it is "partial 16S ribosomal RNA". It matches the Rfam family "Bacterial small subunit ribosomal RNA", at positions 524 to 776 of the family's 1533-position model. The record is from RNAcentral.